Molecule: ribosomal RNA, 477 nt
Filed under: uncultured bacterium
Lineage: Bacteria
Description: bacterial SSU rRNA
Rfam family: Bacterial small subunit ribosomal RNA
Source: RNAcentral
GAUGAACGCUAGCGGCAGGCUUAACACAUGCAAGUCGAGGGGUAUAGUAGCAAUACUAGAGACCGGCGCACGGGUGCGUAACGCGUAUGCAAUCUACCUUUUGCAGAGGGAUAGCCCAGAGAAAUUUGGAUUAAUACCUCAUAGUAUAUAUGGAUGGCAUCAUUUAUAUAUUAAAGUCACAACGGCAAAAGAUGAGCAUGCGUCCCAUUAGCUUGUUGGUAAGGUAACGGCUUACCAAGGCAACGAUGGGUAGGGGUCCUGAGAGGGAGAUCCCCCACACUGGUACUGAGACACGGACCAGACUCCUACGGGAGGCAGCAGUGAGGAAUAUUGGACAAUGGGCGCAAGCCUGAUCCAGCCAUGCCGCGUGCAGGAUGACGGUCCUAUGGAUUGUAAACUGCUUUUGCACAGGAAGAAACAACGCUAACGUGUAGCGUCUUGACGGUACUGUGAGAAUAAGGAUCGGCUAACUCGUCG